Molecule: long non-coding RNA, 701 nt
Organism: Oreochromis aureus
Lineage: Eukaryota; Metazoa; Chordata; Actinopteri; Cichliformes; Cichlidae
Source: Ensembl
UGAAGUUUAACCUGUGACGUAGAGGAGCUCGUUACCAUGGAGCCUGGCGACAGACGAAGGGGUUCCCCUCUAUGGCAGCACUUUGAGCUGAUCUCUCCCAGUAAGCUCCACACUGAGUCCUGACUUCAGUGGGUGAAUCCAUCCAGCAGAGACGUGGAGACACAAAGACUGAGAGCUGCUGGACAGUUUCAGGUGUUACAUAUCAGUUCAGGGCAGGAGAAACGCAGAUCCUUUGACAAGUCUUUUGCUGCCCCCAUGACUCGGGACCGAACAACGUCGGUGCAGCACUGGACCUGCAGCGUCAGUCUGAAGGCCUGAAACUCCUCCCACGCUGAUCACAGACAUCAGCAGGAUCGAGGACGACCCCCCCCCCCAAGUCUGAGGACGUUCCCCGCCACAUGAAUGGGGGACAGGAGGCGCAGCUUCCAGCCCAGCUGGUGGGAAAGUCCUCCGUGGGUGGACUUCUCUGUAACUAUGGACUCUGCCUGUUGUCAUGCGUGCAGACGUUUCAGUCCAUAGACAUUUCAGCCAGUGCUUUUUAAACAUUAACUGUGCACAUGUGCGGGAUGUGAAAUCUUCUGUUUCAUUGUUAAAUGUUCAUUCACUUUGUUUGUGCUCCAAAUAAAUUCCCUUCAUAGAUGAAGCGGUUCAGUUUUGUCCUCUUGGUUUGGUUCAAUGCCCCCAUGAAAAAACACCCUGAG